Molecule: long non-coding RNA, 3187 nt
Organism: Bubalus bubalis (water buffalo)
Lineage: Eukaryota; Metazoa; Chordata; Mammalia; Artiodactyla; Bovidae
Exons: 4
Source: RefSeq, a predicted model, not a curated record
CUAUGCCAAACGUACACGAGACCCAUGAGACACUCGAUCUUCAAUCAGCUGCCCAUUGGUGACGCCCAUCUGGUCCCAUUCUAACCCUUAGAAACACAGAUAAGCACCUCGGCUUUCAGCUGACUAAAUUGAUGAUCUGCAGCUGUGCCCCGCUGUCCCUGCCUGAGGCUCACUGAUAGAGCACCUGUGUGGCUGGGCCCAGAACCUUCUGUCUUUUACUCAAAGCCUCAGCUCUGUUGCUUGUGAUCACACCAACAGCAGGAAGGGCUGAUGUGGCAGCCAGGACGGAACACCCAGGAUUCGGUGGUGUGGUCUUUUCACAAUACCCUGAGUAUCUCUCCCCAGCUUGUGUUCGCUGUUUUAAAUUGAUCCAGUCACCCACUUGAGCUGCGGCUCUUGCUUUGGUCUGCGAGCCCUUCGGCUUGGUGAUCUGUUGGCAGUGGAGUUGGCUGCUAUCCUUGCAGCAAGGACAGAAAGUCAAGUGACUUCAGCAACCACCUGACAGAAUUUCCUGCUCUCCUUAUUGGCCUGGCCAGUGUUUCAACUUCCUUACCAUCGCCUUCCUGCAGACUCUUCUGAACGUCAUCCUGAAGAGACUACGUGUCAGAGAGCAAAGAAAACUGGAGCUCCCCAAUGUAAAGAGAUCUGAAGAUGCCUAAUGUGACCUGUUGGCAGUGUGUGGGUACCUUUCUGAGAAGAGGACGAAGGGUCUUUGUAAGGAAGAGGCAGAGAAUCAGAGGGACAGAAGGUGAUGUGGUCACAAAGGAAAGAGAGACCAGGAGAUGUUGUGUGACUGGCCUUGAAGGUGCAAGAAGGGGCCCCAGACCAAGGACUACAAGUUGGAAGAGGGAAGAAACAGAUUAUCCCAGAGCCUUCAUAAGGAAAACCCUCCCUAACCCCUCUGACACUUUGAAGCAGCCCUGCAAAACUCAUUUUGAAUUUCUGACUUUCAGAGCUUUAAGAGAAAAAAAGGUUAUUUUAAGCCUCUCUAUGUGUAGUAAUUUGUUACAGCAGCAAUAGAAAACUAAUACAUGUAGGGAUCCAAUAAGAUCUUGUGUGGGAAGACUCUCAGAAAAACACAAAGCCAGGAGUCAUUAUUAGUUUAUGACAACUCACCCCUUGUUUAUUCCAUUUCUGUGCAGUGCUAUGUAAGUUUCAGCGACGAUAAUGAGGCGAGAUGCUUGAAUAAUAGCCUUACACCCCAAGGAAGGGUAUUUUUUUUCAUAGUUUAUAAUUGCCAUAGAGCUUGAAAAUCUUCCAGGUCUUAUAGUUCUUAAUUAUGCUCUCAUGCAUAUGUAUCAAUUACCCACAUGCUCCUACCUAGCUUGUUACUGCAAAGAUAUUUUAAAAUAUAUAUAUUUGGAACAGUUUCCUCUGCAUGCAUCUCCAUCUGAAAAUAUCCUAUGAAAUAUUUCACCUCCACUGCAAUAAUCCGUGCCGGUUGGGACAUGCUUGCCAAUCUUCCCCUGCACGAUGAAAUUAAACCUCCUCUGUUGUCUACUGCAGUCUCAAGCCUGCUCAUUCUACCUGGCAAUUCUCUCCUUAUAACUCUCAGUGGCUUCAUUGCAGAUUUGGUUCUCUGGGUUUGUGUCUGCUUUGGUGGGUAUGGCCUGCAAUCCAGGAAGGAUCAGGGAUUGCCUGACCCAGGAAGUUAUAUUGAAAUGGCAGUGCAGGGGAAAGAAAGGGUGUUGAUAGUUUUGCUCACUGUUUCUCCCUAUUAGAAGUGACUCUGCAGGGUCUGUACUUCUGGGCCAGUGAAUUCUCAGAGAGUCUCAGUGCUAGGGAGGCAGUUUUAUCUGCUGGUGAAUGACUUUACCAAGUGAUAGCACGUGAAGUCCUCCAGUGGCCCUUUCGUGGUGAUCUUUGGAUUUACCUGACUCAGUUUUCCAAUUUGCAAGUCGAUUUUCUUCUUUCCUGAUUCUCCCUUUUCCUGCUACUCCUUUUCUUCCUGACUAUUUCUCUUGUCCUGGAGCUGCCCAUAAGAACUAUGCCUCCUUGUCUCUGUUGGGAAAAGCAUCUGUAAAUCUUCAUCUGGCAUUUUCAUCUAAAGGACCGAUGGCAUUCUGUGGGUGCGCUAAAACAUGGUGGUCUGCCUUGAUUUUUUAGCUGUUAUACUGAACUUAAAAAAAUUUUCUUUUGUGAAAGGGGAGAUUUUACCUGUGGAACCUCUAUUUUAUAACGUACAUGUUUUAUCAUUAGGUAAAACAUUUAACCUCUCUCCAUCUUGGUUCCUUCAUCAAUGGAGGUGGUAAUAUAAACACUGUAGUGUCACUGGGAAAAUUACAUGAAUUACGAUGCAAAAUGCUCGUCACACCUGGCCUACAGUCACUUGUAAAGUACUUAUUGUCUCCUCUGCCCCCUCACUCCAUUCUCAUGCUUGAGAUGCAUACAUGCUCUCUGGUGGAUUUGCUUUACAGAAGGAUUCUGGGGUUCUAGUUGAGAGAGUCGAUUUGGUUUGUCCCAGGAGAAGCCUGGGAAUCUGUGUUUGGAUUCCCAAAGCUGCCCAGGUGACACUGACUCGGGUGUUCUUCAGACUGUGCUUUUAGAGGCUGUUCCGUGGGCUGUAAAGACGGCGAGCUUGCACCUUGAGCAUCCUCAGGGCAGAGCUGUGUGCUGCCGGUUUGUGGUGAAUCACAGUGUCCGUCACAGACGAGACGCCCGACGCACACUGGUCAAAGUUCAGUGAGUACCUCCAUGCACUUUCCAUAUUACCUGAUUUAUUUUUUCAAGUUUUACUCCUCACUGGGCAAUCAGAAGGCUGUGUAUAAAGUACACUAGUGUGACCACUCAUCCUCAAGCCUGAAACAUAUCCUAGGCAACAUUUGAGUCCCCAUUCCCCUCCAUUCCUGCAGGUCUACAGCUAUCCAUCUUUCCAUAAGCCCCAGUUCCAAGCCGUGUUCUCUAUGACUCCCUCUCUGGUUAGAGUUAACAUUGCCCUUCUCUCCAACCAGCUUCUGCAUAUCAUGUAAGAUAAUUUAACUCACACAGGUUAUGUAUAUUCAUUGUCUCUCUCAGCAAACCGCACGCUCUCAGUGGUUUCCAGACCCACCCCCCUUUCCCAUCUGGACCACAGUUGGCUCAGUCCCAGCUCCAUCAUCUUGCUUGUGUUUAUGACAUGAGCUUCUUCUUUGACUGAGUCGGGUGACUGUGAGUUCUAUAUCUUUUCAAUAAACUCUCCUUUAAGUAG